Molecule: ribosomal RNA, 393 nt
Filed under: uncultured Myxococcales bacterium
Lineage: Bacteria; Pseudomonadati; Myxococcota; Myxococcia; Myxococcales
Description: bacterial SSU rRNA
Rfam family: Bacterial small subunit ribosomal RNA
Source: RNAcentral
AAAGGAUUGCUAAUACCGCAUACGUCGGCGAGAUCUCCGGAUCUUGCCGGGAAAGAUGGCCUCUCCUUGGAAGCUGUCACCGGAAGAUGAACCUGCGGCCCAUCAGCUAGUUGGUGAGGUAAUGGCUCACCAAGGCGAAGACGGGUAGCUGGUCUGAGAGGAUGAUCAGCCACACUGGGACUGCGACACGGCCCAGACUCCUACGGGAGGCAGCAGUGGGGAAUAUUGGGCAAUGGGCGAAAGCCUGACCCAGCCACGCCGCGUGAGUGAUGAAGGCCUUCGGGUCGUAAAGCUCUGUGGGGAGGGACGAAUAAGUCGGAUGCUAAUAUCAUCCGGCCCUGACGGUACCUCCUUAGCAAGCACCGGCUAACCAUGUGCCAGCAGCCGCGGUAA